AGAUUGAACGCUGGCGGCAGGCCUAACACAUGCAAGUCGAGCGGUAGAGAGGUGCUUGCAUCUCUUGAGAGCGGCGGACGGGUGAGUAAUGCCUAGGAAUCUGCCUAGUGGUGGGGGAUAACGUUCGGAAACGGACGCUAAUACCGCAUACGUCCUACGGGAGAAAGCGGGGGACCUUCGGGCCUCGCGCCAUUAGAUGAGCCUAGGUCGGAUUAGCUAGUUGGUGAGGUAAUGGCUCACCAAGGCGACGAUCCGUAACUGGUCUGAGAGGAUGAUCAGUCACACUGGAACUGAGACACGGUCCAGACUCCUACGGGAGGCAGCAGUGGGAAUAUUGGACAAUGGGCGAAAGCCUGAUCCAGCCAUGCCGCGUGUGUGAAGAAGGUCUUCGGAUUGUAAAGCACUUUUGGCUAGGAAGAAACGGCGUAGCCCUAAUACGGACGUCACUGACGGUACCUGCAGAAUAAGCACCGGACUAACUACGU
Molecule: ribosomal RNA, 485 nt
Filed under: uncultured soil bacterium
Lineage: Bacteria
Description: bacterial SSU rRNA
Rfam family: Bacterial small subunit ribosomal RNA
Source: RNAcentral